Molecule: ribosomal RNA, 499 nt
Filed under: ectomycorrhizal fungal sp. OEB.1-IYA36-3
Lineage: Eukaryota; Fungi
Description: eukaryotic LSU rRNA
Rfam family: 5.8S ribosomal RNA (bases 180-334)
Source: RNAcentral
AAGGAUCAUUAUCGAAUUAUAAGCGAGGGUUGUCGCUGGCCUCGAAAGAGGCAUGUGCACGCCCGAGCUCUUAAAUCCACAACACACCUGUGAACCCACCGUAGGCCUUCGGGCUUAUGUAUCAUAUACUCUGAAUGUGUCAUAGAAUGUUCAUGUUGCCUUAAAACGCAAUCAAAUACAACUUUCAACAACGGAUCUCUUGGCUCUCGCAUCGAUGAAGAACGCAGCGAAAUGCGAUAAGUAAUGUGAAUUGCAGAUUUUCAGUGAAUCAUCGAAUCUUUGAACGCACCUUGCGCUCCUUGGUAUUCCGAGGAGCAUGCCUGUUUGAGUGUCAUUAAAUUCUCAACCCCACCGAUUUGCUUCGGGGGGAUUGGACUUGGAGCGUGCUGGCGAAGGUCGGCUCCUCUUUAAAUGCAUCAGUGGAGAGAAACUUGCCCCAGUGUGAUAAUCCUGUUGCGCUGUGGUGGGCGAAAGUCUGCUUCCAACCGUCCCUCCGGGG